GUUGUAGAGGGUCUUGCACUGGAUGUCAGAGCAUCAGAAGCUAAAGCACUUUGCGCAGGAUCAUUUGCAGAAAUGAAACGCUUAAAUUUACUCCAAAUCAAUGGAGUACAUCUCACCGGAUCCUUCAAACUGCUUUCUAAAGAGUUGAUGUGGAUUUGUUGGCAUAGAUGUCCUUUGAAAGAUUUUCCAUCUGAUUUUACCGCAGACUAUCUAGCUGUUCUUGAUAUGCAGUACAGUAACCUCAAAGAACUAUGGAAGGGAAAAAAGGUGCGAAACAUGCUACAAUCCCCGAAAUUUCUCCUGUAUGUAAUUUAUAUUGACAUCUUAUGACUUUCUAUGAUUAAUUUUCAUUAUUUUACCCUCUAUUAUGACAGAUCCUCAACAGGCUAAAAAUCUUUAAUCUUAGUCAUUCUCGGAACCUUGUUAAAACACCAAACUUGCACAGUUCAAGUCUAGAGAAACUAAUUCUGAAAGGUUGCUCAAGUUUAGUUGAGGUGCAUCAAUCAAUUGGACAUUCGACGAGCCUCGUUUUCUUGAAUCUCAAGGGAUGUUGGAGUCUGAAGACUCUCCCUGAAAGCAUUAGGAAUGUAAAGUCUCUUGAAACUAUGAAAAUUUAUGGGUGUUCACAACUUGAGAAAUUGCCAGAAGGCAUGGGUGAUAUGAAAUUCUUAACUGAGCUAUUAGCUGAUGGGAUUAAAACUGAGCAAUUUCUCUCUUCAAUUGGGCAAUUAAAGUAUGUCAAAAGGUUAUCAUUACGUGGAUGCAGUCCGACUCCACCAAGUUGUUCUUUGAUUUCAGCAGGUGUUUCAAUUUUGAAAUGUUGGCUGCCAACAUCAUUCACUGAAUGGAGAUUAGUGAAACAUCUUAUGCUUUCUAAUUGUGGUUUGUCUGAUCGUGCAACUAACUGUGUUGAUUUUAGUGGUUUGUUCUCUCUAGAAAAAUUGGAUCUAAGUGAAAACAAAUUCUCUAGCCUGCCUUAUGGGAUCGGCUUCCUUCCCAAGCUAUCGCACUUGGUUGUUCAGACAUGUGAAUAUCUUGUAUCAAUCCCAGAUCUUCCCUCAAGUUUAUGCCUUUUGGAUGCAUCUUCUUGCAAAUCAUUGGAAAGAGUAAGAAUACCAAUCGAGUCAAAAAAAGAACUAUGUGUAAAUAUAUUUCAAAGUCUUUCGUUAGAAGAGAUUCAGGGCAUCGAAGGUCUAAAUAAUAGUUUCUGGAAUGUUAGUAUUGAAAGACGCAGUCAUUCACCAAAUAAAUUACAGAAGAGCGUUCUAGAGGUACUAUUUCUUUCAAUCUCUCUUGCAUAAGAAGAAACACACACAAUUGGCACAUAUUGAUUAAUGUCUAAAAUCGCAGCAUUCCUUGAAAUUAAUAUGUAUACAGGCAGUUAUUAUUAUUAUUAUUAUUAUUAUAUUUUAAAAAAUAAAUAUCAUCUUUAAUAAUAUUUUCUUAUUUUUCUUAUUUAAUCUAAAAAAUUAAAUAUUAUCUUUAAUAAUAUUUUUUAUUAAAUAUUUAAGUCUUUGGUUUUCUUUUUUAUUUCUUGAUUUUAUGAUAAUAUAUUUAUACAGGCAAUGUGCAACCGUGGUCACGGGUAUCGUAUUAACUUCAGUCUAGAACAUGAUGAACUACAUGAGAUGCCAGAUUGGAUGAGCUACAGGGGAGAAGGAUGCUCAUUGUCAUUCCAUAUACCUCCAGUCUUCCAUGGCUUAGUUCUUUGGUUAGAGAAGGGUACUCAUAUGUACACAUACACUAACAUUAUUAUUAUUAUAAGAAAUAAAAGCAACGGAAGAAUAUUGUUUAAAGAUAAACGAGCACAGAUAGGAAUACAUAUAUUUAUGCAGGGAUGGUUAAGAUACAUAAGUAGAAGUGAAAUGGCAAUGGAAGAUUACUGUGGAGACGAAUUGGAACUAUACAUUUCUUCAGAGCCAACAGACUAUGCACUGCGCAAGGGUAAAUCAUUGAAACCAAGCGUUAAAGAAUGUGGGGUCCAUGUGAUCGCAGGGAAGUCAGAUUCAUUAAAAAAGUCGGCAGUGGAAAGAGAUACAGUGAUGCUUUCACCACCGCUGUAUCAUCUGCUUCCUCAUCCUCAUCGUGGUUCAAUUACAACGUCUACACCUAAGCAAUGGUGUGACUUUUUACUUGCGGAGCUGCAAAACCAUAGCCUCGGUUUAUUGCUUCUUGGUAAGAACAAAUAUUUCCUUUAGUUAUUUUUAUUCUAUUCUAUUUAAUUUAUGAGAUUAAAUAUUAUCUUUAAUUAUUUCAUUAUUACUAUUUAAUAUAAAAAAUUAAAUAUCAUUUUUAAUAAUAAAAAAUUAAAUAUUUAAGGCUUUUUGGUAAGAAUACAUAUUUCCUUUAGUUAUUUCUAUUUUAUUCUAUUUGAUGGGAAUUUGUUCGUAAUAACAAAAUGCACAUGUUUAACUUUCUUUUCAAACUUGGAAGUUUUAUUGAAUUUGAUGGCUUUUGAAGGUAGAGAAGACUUGGAGUGAAGAGUACAAGAUCAUUUUAUAUAGAGAUGCUUGAAGUUACUUCAAAUUAGUACGGUACUUCUAUCUGAUGUAUUGAUAUGUAUUUGUUUGUUUGAAGAUUAUUUUCCAAGCUUGGAAGUUUUAUUGAAUACUCUUUGAAAUCUUUUCCAUCCGCUUUUAUAUUUUUAUAUUGGACAACCUAGUUGUUAAUUAUUAUCCAUGAUGUAAUUUAUAUUUUCAAGUUAUAAAUUUUGAUGAAUAUUGUUUCAUUUUUUUCCUCAUUUCAAAAGUUGAAAAUCCUUAUUUUAGUUAGAAAUAAAUUGGUUUUCUAGGAAGAGAUUAUUGAUUGGAAACAAGAGCAAAAGAAAAAAGCAAACACCCCAUUCGAUUUUCAUUCAGUAUAAGAGUGAGAAAGAGAGACGCCAAGGUGGUUCUCGAAUAUUUUGUUCUUUUUUGUCUCGCUCACUGGGGUAAAUACUUCAUCAUUUAAUGUUAUAAUUUAAAAUAAUUGAUGAAAAAGAAUUUUAUUCAAUCCCAAUCCCAAUCCCACAUUGUCUGUAGAAGUAUUUACUUUUGACUGUACACUUUGUUAUUUUCCAAUCCCUCCCCAGUUCUGCAACCAUUUCUCUACUUUCUAUGCUCUUGGCUUGCUAAAAACUAAAGAAAACACAUUGCUCUAGUUGCCUGCCUUCACUCUUCAGAUUGCUCAACAAAUCCCUUGAGACCUUCUCCAUAGUUAACACAUCACAUAAUGGCUACUCUAAAAAAUUUAGCCAUAAACAUUGAACACCUUAAGCAAUCAACGUGCCUUCCUUCACAAUAUGCAUCACCCAUAAAUCUUUCUUUUGGGAUGUCGCCGGGAGUUUAAAUUUCCGAGUGUAAAAAUUACUCAAUGAAAAAGCGAGCACUAACGCACCUUCUCCACAAACUACCAUAAAUAUAUAAAUAUAUUAUGAAAACAAGAUAAAAAGAAAUCUUUCGGUACAUCUAUAUAUAUAUAUUAUGGCUAUGAAAAUAGGUUUGUGGAAAUUUACAUCAUUUGAUCUUGACAGUGUCAGAUUAGACAAUUGCAUGGAAAUGGUCUUCUUAGUUUGCCGUGUGGAAAAUCAUGUCAUUUACGGGGCUGCUGGAGAGAGUGUCUAUUGAUAAUUUUAUCUUAUUUGCAUUGACCGGUAAUUUCACUCGAAAAUUUCUAGUAAUUUAAAAGCAAAUUUCUACUGACUAUUAUUGACUGGCUUCUUGCAAAGUAUUUGUAAGAAAGCUAAAGAAUUAAAGUUUUUUAAUUUUUAAAAUUGUAAGAAAAAAAUCAAUUAUUUUUAAAAUUGUUUUCAAAAAUAAAACACCAACUAUUUAUAUAAUAGCUAAAUCUAUUAAGAUAAAUCCAAAAUAACUAGUAAAAUCAGUGACUUGCAUUGACGGUGUAAUGAUCUGGAACCACUCGCAAUAAAUAAAGCCAAAAAAGGCAGACGAGUGUGUCUAUAUAUACAUAUAGGAACCGCUGAUUCGAUUUGAAUAUGUUAUUUGAUUAGUCUAAUUCAUGACUUGCAUUGACUCAAGAUUACCACUCAAGAUUUCGUGGUGCUUUCUCGGCCUGCAAAUGAAUAGAAAGCAUGUCGUUUUAACCUCAUUUCAAUAUCCUUGCUUUACUCUCCAGCUAGCCUGAUACAUAUGAGUCUCAAGACAUACGGCCAUUGAUAGAAAGGAGUGCUGAAGCAAAAUAUUUUUUUAUCUGUAGCGACCUCAAUAAUGUUAAAGCGUGGACCACCAUGAAAUUACCGCUCCAAAUUCCUUGUUCUUUCUAUAUUAUUAGAAAAAUUAUCAUUGACUAAUUUAAUUGGAAAUUAUUUGCGAGAAAGCUAAAAAGAAUUAAAGUUUUUUAAUUUAUAAAAUUAUAAUUUUAAAUUGUAAAAAAAUUCAAUUAUUUUAAAAAAUAAAACAUCAACUAUUUAUAUAAUAGCUAAAUAAAUCUAUUAAAAUAAAUUGAGAAUAACUAGUAAAAUCAAGCAAAUAAUCCAAAAAUAACAAGAAAAUAAAUAUAUUUCCUAGAUCUAAUUUGAUUAUAUUUAUUAUCUUGAUUGACUUACUUGUUAAGUCUUCGCUAAGCAUAAAUGAACUUUAAUCUAAGAAUCUGUUUUAUAUUUCUUCAUUUAUUAAUGAAAUAUUACUUCUACUGUAUAGUUUUUGGUUCCGAGUUGAUCCACCAGAUUAAUAGGUGAACAAUAUAUUUUGUCUCCACAGGUUAUAACAUCAUUUCAAUAUCUUUAAACAAAAUCUUUGUUAAACUGCACCAUUGGUAAUUGAUUAUGCCUUAAUUUCUGCAGCUGCCAGGACAGAGCCAGAGUCUUCUCGAUCUAGACCAGAAGGGGCCUAUGAUGUCUUCUUGAGUUUUAGAGGAGAAGACACUCGCAAGACAUUUACAGAUCAUCUCUACACUGCCUUAGUCCAAGCAGGAAUCCACACUUUUCGAGAUGAUGAUGAACUUCCGAGAGGAGAAGAAAUCUCCGAUCAUCUCCUCAGGGCAAUUCAAGAAUCAAAGAUAUCCAUAGUUGUCUUCUCAAAGGAUAUGCUUCUUCUAGAUGGUGUCUCAAUGAACUUGUAGAGAUUCUUAAGUGCGAAAAUAGGAAAACCGGUCAGAUUGUUCUUCCUAUAUUCUAUGACAUUGAUCCUUCAUAUGUCAGAAAACAGAAUGGCAGUUUUGCAGAAGCAUUUGUUAACCAUGAAGAGCGUUUUGAAGAGAAGUUGGUGAAGGAGUGGAGAAAAGCUCUUGAGGAGGCUGGAAAUCUAUCUGGAUGGAAUCUCAAUGAUAUGGCAAAUGGGUAUGCCUUUUCUCUCUAAAAUUCACUUGCAGACGUUUAUGGAGUAAUUCUACAUUACAUUUUUCAAUGUGAAGUAAUAAAAUAUUUCUUUUUAGCAUACUUAAUUGACUUGCUAUCGAUGACUUGCUUUUUUUCUGUGAGCAGGCAUGAAGCAAAAUUUAUCAAAGGGAUUAUCAAUGAUGUGUUGAAUAAAUUACGUCGCGAGUGCUUAUAUGUUCCUGAGCAUCUGGUAGGUAUGGAUCUUGCUCACGAUAUUUAUGACUUUCUAAGUACUGCAACAGAUGAUGUACGCAUUGUGGGCAUACAUGGGAUGCCAGGAAUAGGAAAGACGACUCUAGCAAAAGUUGUAUUUAAUCAACUCUGCUAUAGAUUCGAGGGAAGCUGCUUUCUUUCGAAUAUCAAUGAAAGUUCAAAACAAGUUAAUGGUCUUGUUCCUUUACAAAAGCAACUUCUUCAUGAUAUUUCAAAACAAGAUGUUGCUAACAUCAAUUGUGUCGAUAGAGGAAAGGUUAUGAUCAAAGAUCGACUUUGUCGCAAAAGAGUUCUUGUUGUUGCUGAUGAUGUGGCUCAUCUGGAACAGCAGAAUGCAUUGAUGGGAGAGCGAAGUUGGUUUGGUCCCGGAAGUAGAGUAAUCAUUACAACAAGAGAUUCAAAUCUUCUUCGUGAAGCAGAUCGAACAUAUCAGAUCGAAGAAUUGAAACCACAUGAGUCCCUUCAGCUUUUCAGCAGGCAUGCCUUUAAGGACUCCAAGCCAGCACAAGAUUAUAUUGAGCUUUCGAAGAAAGCCGCUGGUUACUGUGGAGGACUUCCUUCAGCUCUUGAGGUUACAGGAGCUCUUCUGUACAGGAAAAACAGAGGUAGAUGGGAAAGUGAAAUGGACAACUUGAGCAGAAUUCCAAACCAAGAUAUUCAAGGAAAGCUUCUAAUAAGUUAUCACGCACUUGAUGGUGAACUACAAAGGGCAUUCCUUGAUAUUGCAUGCUUCUUUAUUGGUAUAGAGAAAGAAUACGUCGCAAAAGUGCUAGGAGCCCGUUGCCGUCCCAAUCCAGAAGUUGUUUUGGAAACUCUCAGUGAAAGGUCUCUGAUUAAAAUAUUGGGAGAGACGGUAACCAUGCAUGAUCUAUUACGAGAGAUGGGAAGGGAGGUCGUUUGUAAAGCGUCCCCAAAAGAACCUGGAAAGAGGACCAGAAUUUGGAAUCAAAAGGAUGCAUGGAAUGUACUUCAACAGCAGAAGGUACGAGCUCAAUGCAUACAUGAAAGCGUAGUCAUGUGUAUUUUCUCAAUGCAAACAUGAAAGCAUAGUCAUGCGUAUUUUCUUGUCAAACUUAUUACAAAUAAUUGAAUGAAAGUUGUAUUGAUUUUUUUUUUAGGGUACGGAUGUUGUAGAGGGUCUUGCACUGGAUGUCAGAGCAUCAGAAGCUAAAUCACUUAGCGCAGGAUCAUUAGAAAAAAUGAAAUGCUUAAAUUUACUCCAAAUCAACGGAGCACAUCUCACCGGAUCCUUCAAACUGCUUUCUAAAGAGUUGAUGUGGAUUUGUUGGCAUGAAUGUCCUUUGAAAUAUUUUCCAUCUGAUUUUACCUUGGACAAUCUAGCUGUUCUUGAUAUGCAGUACAGUAACCUCAAAGAACUAUGGAAGGGAAAAAAGGUGCGAAACAUGCUGGAAUCCCCAAAAUUUCUCCAGCAUGUAAUUUAUAUUUACAUGUUAUGACUUUCUAUGAUUAAUUGUCAUUAUUUUACUCUCUCUUAUGACAGAUUCUCGACAAGCUAAAAAUCCUUAAUCUCAGUUAUUCUCAUCACCUUAUUAAAUCACCAAAGUUGCACAGUUCAAUUCUAGAGAAACUAAUUCUGAAAGGUUGCUCAAGUUUAGUUGAGGUGCAUCAAUCAAUUGGACAUUCGACGAGCCUCGUUUUCUUGAAUCUCGAGGGAUGUUGGAGUCUGAAGACUCUCCCUGAAAGCAUUGGUAAUGUAAAGUCUCUUGAAACUAUGAAUAUUUGUGGGUGUUCACAACUUGAGAAAUUGCCAGAAGGCAUGGGUGAUAUGAAAUUCUUAACUGAGCUGCUAGCCGAUGAGAUUAAAACUGAGCAAUUUCUCUCUUCAAUUGGGCAAUUAAAGUAUAUCAAAAGGUUAUCAUUGCGUGUUUCAAAUUUGAAAUGUUGGCUGCCAACAUCUUUCACUGAAUGGAGAUUAGUGAAAUAUCUUAAGCUUUACUGUGUUGAUUUUAGAGGUAUGUUCUCUCUAAAAGUAUUGGAUCUAAGAGGAAACAAAUUCUCUAGCCUGCCUUCUGGGAUCGGCUUCCUUCCCAAGCUAUCGUACUUGGUUGUUAAGACAUGUGAAUAUCUUGUAUCAAUCCUAGAUCUUCCCUCAAGUUUAUGCCUUUUGGAUGCAUCUUAUUGCAAAUCAUUGGAAAGAGUAAGAAUACCAAUCGAGGCAAAAAAAGAACUAUGUGUAAAUAUAUAUAUGAAAGUCUUUCGGUAGAAGAGAUUCAGGGCAUCGAAGGUUUAAAUAAUAGUUUCUGGUAUGUUAGUGUUACAUCACCAAAUAAAUUACAGAAGAGCAGUCAUUCACCAAAUAAAUCACAGAAGAGCGUUGUUGAGGUACUAUUUCUUUUAGUCUCUCUUGCACAAGAAGAAACACACACAAUUGGCACAUACAUUGAUUAAUGUCUAAAAUCGCAGCAUUCCUUGAAAUUAAUAUGUAUACAUACAAUUAUUAUUUUAAUUUAAAAAAUAAAUAUCAUCUUUAAUAAUAUUUUCUUAUUUUUCUUAUUUAAUCUAAAAAAUUAAAUAUUAUCUUUAAUAAUAUUUUUUAUAAAAUAUUUAAAGUCUUUGGUUUUCUUUUUUAUUUCUUGAUUUUAUGAUAAUAUAUUUAUACAGGCAAUGUGCAACCGUGGUCACGGGUAUCGUAUUAGCUUCAUUGUUGAUGAUCUACUUGAGAUGCCAGAUUGGAUGAGCUACAGGGCAGAAGGAUGCGCAUUGUCAUUCCAUAUACCUCCAGUCUUCCAUGGCUUAGUUCUUUUGUUUGAGAAGAGUACUCAUCUUUACACAGUCACUAACAUUAUUAUUAUUAUAAGAAAUAAAAGCAACGGAAGAAUAUUGUUUAAAGAUAAACGAGCACAGAUAGGAAUACAUAUAUUUAUGCAGGGAUGGUUAAGAUACAUAAGUAGAAGUGAAAUGGCAAUGGAAGAUUACUGUGGAGAUGACGAAUUGGAACUAUACAUAUAUUCACAGCAAUCAGAGUAUGCAACGGUCAUUCAUUCGAACCCGUACACGUUAAAGAAUGUGGGGUCCAUGUGAUCGCAGAGAAGUUAGAUUCAUUUGAAGAGUCGGCAGUGGGAAGAGAUACAGUGAUGCCUUCACCACCGCUGUAUCAUCUGCUUCCUCAUCCUCAUCGUGGUUCAAUUACAACGUCUACACCUAAGCAAUGGUGUGACUUUUUACUUGCGGAGCUGCAAAACCAUAACCUCAGUUUAUUGCUUCUUGGUAAGAACAAAUAUUUCCUUUAGUUAUUUUUAUUCUAUUCUAUUUAAUUUAUGAGAUUAAAUAUUAUCUUUAAUUAUUUCAUUAUUACUAUUUAAUAUAAAAAAUUAAAUAUCAUUUUUAAUAAUAAAAAAUUAAAUAUUUAAGGCUUUUUGGUAAGAAUACAUAUUUCCUUUAGUUAUUUCUAUUUUAUUCUAUUUAAUUUAAGAGAUUAAAUAUCAUCUUUAAUUAUUACAUUUUUCUUAUUUUUUAUUUUUUGAUUUUAUGAUAAUAUUUUUCUUGAUUAAUAUAAAAAAUAAAUAUUAUCUUUAAUAAUUAGAUCUAUCGAAUAUCACUCAAAAAAAUAAAUUAUAUCUUUAAUAAUUAUUUUUUGAAAAACAAAAAGCCAACAAUCACUAACAUAUUUUAUUAAAAUCACUUUAGUUUAUUUAGGAAAUAUUGAAAACUGAUUUUUGUUUUUUUACAUUUAAAUAAAAAAUUGAAUAAUGUUUUUAUAUUUUAUUUCAAAUUAAAUAUUUUAAAACAAAAAUAAAAACAAAAUGAUAUUAACCUUUUUUAUUAUAAAGUAAGUUUCUUAAUUAAAAGUGAAGGGGAUUUGUUUGUAAUAACAAAAUGCAUAUAUAAUCAUGCACGGUUAACUUUAUUUCCAAACUUGAAAGUUCUACUGAAUUUGAUGGUUUUAUAGGUAAGAAGGAGCUGGAUGGAUGAGUUAUUUUACAUAGAGAUGCUUGAAGUUACUUCAAAUUAGUACGGUAUUUCUAUCUGAUGUAUUGAUAUGUAUUUGUUGGCUUGAAGAUCAUUUUCCAAGUUUGGAAGUUUUAUUGAAUGCUCUUUGAAAUCUUUUCCAUUCGCUUUUAUAAUUGUGUAGGUUUCAAUUAAAAGGGAUUGAAUUAAGGAAGUAUGUUAAAAAAUAAUAUAAAUUAUAUUUUAAAAUUUAUUUUAAUAGUUUAAAUUUUUAGAUGGAUAGUUUUUUUGACAGGUAAAAGAUAUAGUUUUACAAUAAAAUAUAUUUUUUGAAAUGAAAUUAUAUUAAAUUAAGCAUGCUCGAGAUUGUUCAAAUUAUUAAUUAAUUAUAAUUAACUUUAUGUCUUUAGAGGAAACAGAAGGGAAGGACAAGAUUAUCUUCCCCACACCAAUAGACCUAGCCCACUUUCCAAACCAGUCCCCUGGUAAAUAGAAUGAUGGUCCCAUAUUUUUCUUUCCAGCCCGUCAAGCAGUUUUAUCUCCCUCACUGGACCACUUUAGAAUGGGAAUCACACUAGGAAAUUUAAAAGUAGUUUGAAGUAUCAUUAAACCUGAUAAAAAUAAACAACCAAUAAUAAUAUGGUUGGGAUUUAAAAAAAAAUUGAUAAAAAAACUAAAAUAAAACAAAUUAAAAUAAACAAAAAACUUGAAAAAAAUUAAUUCAACCCUUUCUUCGUAAAAAAGAGAAGUAAUUGGGUAUUAAUUUACGGUCAAAAGAGUACAAUAAUGCAAAGAAAAAAAAGAGUAUGAGGGUAUUGAUUUUAUUAUUUGUUAGGUAACUAUGGAAUCUAAUCUGUUGAUGUGGAAAAUAGCACAAAUUAAGUUUUUGGCAUGGCCAUUGGUGAGAAGCAAAAGCAGUAGCAGUCCAUCAGGACCAUCACCAUCCUAUCGCCGACAUUCCAAGUGUGAAAGUGUAUUAUUGUCAUAAAGUUUUUCAAACGAAACAAUACGAUAAAUUUAAACUAUAGAGAGAUAAUUAAAUAAAUAAGUAGAAAGCGCAAAAGAAACAAUACGAUAAAUUUAAACUAUACUAAAGGUCAGUUUUUCACUCUGUGUGAAUCUACCGUGAAAGCUUGAUUUUGCACAUGGUAGAUAAAUUUAGGUUUAGGAGUAUAAUUUUUUAUAUAUAAUUACACUAAAGAAGAAUAUUAAUCAAAUAACCCUUAAAAAAAUUCCUUUUAGUUUAGGGUUUAUUUUUUUUCAUCUCAAUUACUUAAAUAUCCCUAAAAAAUAAACUCUCUUUACUAUGGAUGCAAGGUUAUUUUAGAUUUUCUGCUAUUUUUUUUUUAAAAAAUUCUCAUGUAAGAUUAGAGGUGAUUUGGUAUUUUAAUAUAUAAAUUAAUAUUAAAAUUCAAAAGCAGUUGGUGUCUCCCACACCUUUUGGAUGGCGCCUACGACUUCCACACAAAACCGAAUGUUACCGUCUAAGGCAGCGUUUGAUGCGUUUCACCACCGUUGUCACGGUGGUGGCACACGUGUUCUCUGAUGGCAUGUAGAGGAGCACGCGGAGGAGCUCCUUUCUCUUUUUCCUCUCUCGACCUAGAAAAUCAUGUUGACCAUUGAAAAAAAAAAAAACAAAGAAAGUCUAACUAUUUAUUUGUUAAGUUAAAUUAGGUCCUUAUUCUUUUGAUAACAAUGCAUUUGGUCUUGAGCUAUUUAUUAAGUUAGUUGUUUUUUCAUUUUCAUUAAUUUACACUUUGUUUUUAUAUUAGAUUUAAUCCUUAUUCUUUUAACUGUGAUGUUUUUUGUUGUCUUAAUUCCUUUAUUGAAUUAAAUUGUCUUUGAAUUUUAUCUCUUGAUAUUUUAUUUUUAUAUCAAAUAUGAUCCUUAUUUUUUUAUUGUUAUUUUUAGUUAUUUUUAUUAUUUUCUUAAUUGAAAUUGUUUUUUAAUUUCAUCCCUUAUGAUUUGGUUUUAUUUACUUUAUGUAUCAAAUUUGGUUCUCUUUCUUUUCAAAUCUACAUCUUUAAAAAUAAAAUUUAAUUUUUUUCAAGUUUAUCCCUAAUUAUUUUGGUUGGUUUAGAUUUUAUAUUGUUAUUUUUUAUUUUUCUUUUACAUUGUGAUAUAGCCUUAUGAUUGUGUCACAAAUUCUAAAAGUUGGACAGGGAUGACUUCAAUUAUUUUUAGAAAUUUUCAUUCUUCAAUUCAAUUAUAUAUAUAUAUAAAAGGUUUGACGCUUAAUAUAUUUUUGUAUUGAUUUUAUCAUUUUAUAAUUUGAUUUAUAAUGCAGUCCUAUUAUAUAUGGACCAGGACAACAAUAUCAUUCAAAUGUUAGUAAUAGAAUAACUUUUACAUAUUUUAAUAUUUAAAAAUUAAAAAAAUACAGUGUAACUGUUUUGUAUAAAUUCUAAAAGUAAGGACUCAUUUGUGCUUGGUAAAAUACCUCACAAUAAAGUUAAUAAAUAAUAACACAAGAAAAGAACAAAAGUUAAUAAAUAAUAUAUAGCAUGUCUUACACUGCUUUAAUAGAUUAUUCCAGUAAGAGCACAGAGAGAAGAGCGGUUCAAGACAGAACAAUGAUGUAUAAAUUAAAAAAAUAUAAUCUCUUAUAGGAAUCUCUUUAUUAAAUAAUCAAAAUAUUAAAGUCUAUUUCCAAAGACUAUUACUACAGUUUUUAUAUAUAUAAAAAUAGAAACAACUAAAUAGAGAAAUUAUUAUUUUUUAAAUUGAAAAAGUUGAAAAGCUUGAUAAUAUUGAGUAAGAAAUAAAAUAUAAAAAUAAUUCCUUUUAAAUAAACAAAUAUAAAAGUUUAAUAGUACUGAAUAGAAAAAAAAAUAGAAUUUCUAAACUAAAUAAAAGUAACUGAAAAAAGUAUUUAUUAUUCCAAAAAAAUUGAUGUUAAAAUCUCAUUUAUCAUAUUUUAUAUCUAUAAAAAGCUAAUUUGUCAUAUGGAAUAAGUCUAUAUGCUAAAAUCAGAAAAAACAAAUGUAACAAAAAAAAAUUCCACCAAAGGCUGUGAUUAGCAGAUUAUCUGAUGGAAAGAUGAUGAACAUUUUUUAGUCAAUUAAGUUCAUUUCACAUGAUUUUUUUAUUCUUGUCAAUUAAUCUUAAAGCAAGAUUCCAAGAUAAGCCUAAAAAAUAUUUAUUAUUAAUCAACAAUAUGGAAUAAUAACUUGUUUUCUAAUAUAAAUUAUAAUUUGAAAUAAAAUUGAUAAAAGAGUAAGGCGCAUUUUGUAUACAAAAUUAAUGACGGAAUCGUAUAUUUUAAGACUAAAUUAAAGUUUUUCAAUUACAUUUAAACAUAUUAUGGUUUUAAUAAACGUACGAUGCAUCCUUUGAUUUUAUUACAGGGAACGUGAAAUAUUGUAAAUUAUGGAGGGGAAUCAAAAUAUUUGUUAGCAGUAACCUCAGUAAUGUUUAAAAAAAAUUGUUGUGGAAACUUUGCAAAGGAUCUGAAGGAAGAAAAAUGAUUGAAUUGAUAAUAAUUUGCAAGAGAGAAUUCUUUCACUGAAUAGAAAAAAAAAUAUUAUUUUUAAAAUAAAAACAAUAAAUAUAAAAAUUAUUAUUUUUUAAAUAGAGAAACUAGAAAGUCCUGAUAAUAUUAAAUAAAAAAUAAAUACAAAAAUUAUUCUUUUCAAGUAGAAAAAAUUAUAAAAGUUUAAUAAUACUGAAUAGAAAUAAAUAAAAUUUCUAAACUAAAUAAAAAUAUUUAUUAUCCCAAAAAUUCUUAUAUCAAAAUCUCAUUUAUCAUAUUUUGUAUCUAUAAAAAACUAAUUUGUCAUAUGUACUGGGUCCAUAUGCUAAAACCAGAAAAAAAAAUGUAACAAAAAAAAAAUUCCACACAAGGCUGUGAUUAAGAGAUUAACAAGAUGAUAGAUAUUUUUUAGUAAAAUGAAUUCCAAUUCAAAAUAGCAAAAUAAGGUUUUUUGAGGCUUUUCUAGUAUAUAAAAAAAUCAAAUUAUACAAGAUUUAUUAUUAAUCUUUGAUAUUUAUUAUUGAUCAUCAAUAAUCAAUAUUAAAUGAUGACUUAUUUUCUAGUAUAAACUAUGUUUGAAAUAAAAUUGAUAAAACACAUUAUAUAUAAUUAAUGAUGGGAUCGUAUAUAAAAAUAAUUAAAUUGAGAUUUUUCAAUUACCUUUAAAUAUAUCAUAGUUUUAAUCGGUGGUGGACGAUAUAACAUAUGUAAAUUAUAAAACAAGCAUUUAUUUUUCUGAUAUAUACAUAAUUGUCGCACCCGGACAUCGCGGCGACCUUAAAAAUAAUAUUUCAUGGAAAAGAACAGAUUUCUGGCAUCCUGUUCUUUAAUGGAGAAUGGUCUCGUUUAAGGAGUCGCCACCUAGUAUUAUGGUCACUAGGAACCCUAACUGGUCAACAGAGAUUCUAUGGUACGGGACUGGUUACGUAAAAGAGAAGAUAUUAUCACCCCUUAAACGUUCUGCCUGAGGCAGACUGCAUUGCUGGUUUUGUCUUAAAUUGCUAAAUGUUUAUUAGUUUACGCUAUGAUAAUUUGCUUAUAAUAUUCCUGACUCUGGCGUCAGUGAAUAUUCAACUACGAAUAUCUCCAACUCUGGCGUUGGUAAAUAUUACGUAGUUAUAAAAUAAAUUAGAUCAAUAUUUUUUUAUUACCUACUCUAGCAGUGAAUAAAUAAAUAAAAAUAAAUUUAUUUUUAAACAUGCACAUAUUUUUUUAUUUUUCUAGCUAAAUAAAAUAAAUAUAACGAAUAAAAAUAAUAUAAAUUUAAACCGGUAUUUUUAUUCCUGACUCUGGCAUCAGUGAAUAAACCAAUAAAUUUACAUUAUUUUUAUUUAUGCAUACACAUUUUUAUUUUUAUUUUUUUCUAAUAAUGAAUAAAAAUAAUAUAAAUUUAAACCGAUAUUUUUAUUCCUGACUCUGGAGUCAGUGAAUAAACCAAUAAAUUACAUUUUUUUUAUUUUUUUCCUAGGACUAUUUUUCCUACAUUUUUUUAUAUUUUUUUAUUUUUUUCCUAGGACUAAGCUUCACACGUGUAUGCAAAAGUAGUGAAUUAAAUUGGCCUAUGUACAGUACCCAUGCAAUUAGAAUUGCAAAGCAAAGGGAAAUGAAGAACUUACCUGUGCAGGAGGCGAAGUCGAAGACGGUGGCGAAGGUGUGCUGAAUUGCCAAAGCUACCUUCUCUCCUUCUCUGUUUUUAUUCUUCGUGCGCUUCUCCUCUGGUUUUGCUUUUCUUUACUUUGAUUGCUUCUCUUAUUCUUCCUGUCUCCCCCCCUGUGUUUGCUUGUUCUCAGUUCGCUUGUGUUUUCUUUUUUUAUCUGUUGUUCAGGGAAUGGAGGAGCUGGUGUAAGUGGAGACAAAGCAGCUGAUGCCUGAGAGGGCGUUGUACUGCUGCUGGAGCUGGAAGAGGCGCGCGUUGCUGGUUGCUGAUGCAUGCUCACGGUGCAUGGAAGUGGCUGAGUUGCUACUAAUCUUGACGAUACUGGUUUCGUCCGCUGUAAAAGUUUUCGUGCCCCUGCAUCCGAUCAAAGCUUGUGCUUUUCCAAGCAAAAGCCAUGGUCCCUUGAAACUCAGCAGAUUUUCGGAGCAAGGAGGAUCGCAUGCCAAUGUAGUUCAUGGUUCUGGUUUAGAGGCAGACGUGGCGGAGAUUAAUGGUGAUUGGGACCACAGCCUAGAAGGUGACCGGGAGGAAGAUGAUCUCGAGCCUUUAUUUGCUUCUUCUUUUUUUGUGAGGAGUUUGCAGAUCCCGGGGGUUGAGAAUGAAGAAUGAAAAAUCAGUUUGAUGGGGAAGAGAUUGAGGCCAGGCAAGAAGGGAGGAAAAGUCUGGGGGGAGGGGGCAGCGGCGGCUAGUCUAGGACUCGGCCGCGCCCCUUUUUUUUUUUGUAAAUGUCUUUUGUUUCUUUUUUUUUAUAUAGGUUUCUGGUAAUGAUCUUCUCCUGGGUUUUUUUUUUGUGUCGUUUAAGGUUCCUCUCUAAUCGUCUUCCUCUCCCCUCCGUUUUUCAUACCCUGAGAUCUGUAUUUAUAGUGCCAGAGUCCCUUCGCUUGUGAGAAACCAAGUUUCAAUCAAACUCAUUCUAUUUUUUGAAGUUUGAAUUUGAUUAAGAAUCAAAUUUGAAAGCGGAUAACUAUCAUUAUCUUAAAGACAAGGAUUAUCUCGAAGAUAAAGAUUAUCUUGAAGAUAGGGAUUAUCUUGAAGAUAAAGAUAGAAUGAUAAAAGCACAUUGUAGUCCUUAAUUUUCACGGAAGUUGACAAAUCACACUUUUCAUCGAAAUAAAUCUCUGAUCUUUUAAUUUUUCAUUUUAAACCCUGUAAAAAUUAAAUUAAAAGUCAAAGGGCCAAAAUUGGGUCAUGACAGUUGCCCCCUCUUUACAAUGCUUACGGUGCAAAUGCAUUAGAAAAUUUAUUUUCUUUUGACUUUGUAUAGUAAGUUUUGUAAAGAAAAAUAAUUGUGAAAGCCCUUCCUCUUUUCCUCCUUUUUUUUUUCUUCUCUUUUUUUUGAUUGAUUUUUUUGCUUUUUUUUUUUAAAUGGUCUAAUUGUUCCAGGCGACCUGCCUGAUAAAGAAUAAAAUGCGAAAAGGGUUUCGCGAGUGGUCUAAUUGUUCCAGGCGACCUGCCCGAUGAUUGAAAAAUACGAGGAUUUUUUUUUGUGAUGGUAUAUUGUAAUGGGUUACCGGCCCAGAUGGUCACAUUGUAAUGGGUUACCUGCCCAGUAUAGGAUGGUAUAUUGUAAUGGGUUACCGGCCCAAAUGGUCACAUUGUAAUUGGUUACCUGCCUAGUAUAGGAUGGUAUAUUGUAAUGGGUUACCAACUCAGAUGGUCACAUUGUAAUGGGUUACCUGCCCAGUAUAGGAUGGUAUAUUGUAAUGGGUUACCGACCCAAGUGGUCACAUUGUAAUGGGUUACCUGCCUAGUAUAGGAUGGUAUAUUGUAAUGGGUUACCGACCCAGAUGGUCACAUUGUAAUGGGUUACCUGCCCAGUUGGUCACAUUGUAAUGGGUUACCUGCCCAGUGGAUGGUAUAUUGUAAUGGGUUACCGACCCAGAUGGUCACAUUGUAAUGGGUUACCUGCCCAGUGGAUGGUAUAUUGUAAUGGGUUACCGACCCAGAUGGUCACAUUGUAAUGGGUUACCGGCCUAGUUGGUCACAUUGUAAUGGGUUACCUGCCCAGUGGAAAAAUACGAGGAUUUUUCAGAUGGUCACAUUGUAAUGGGUUACCUGCCCAGAUGGUCACAUUGUAAUGGGUUACCGGCCCAGUUGGUCACAUUGUAAUGGGUUACCUGCUUAGUGGAAAAAUACGAGGAUUUUUUUUUAAGACAUGAUAGGGCUCGAAGGCGCAUUAUUCAAUAGAUGGAAGCUCGAGGGAAAUGAGGGCUUGAAGGCGCCCUCAAAAGAAGGUAGGAUAGGAAAUGCACUACCUUUGAUGGUCGAGGGCUCGAAGGAGCGCUCGAAUGGAGGUAGGAUAGGAAAUGCACUACCUUUGAUGGUCGAGGGCUCGAAGGCGUGCUCGAAAAGAAAUAAGAUGAGGGCUCGAAGACGCGCUCGAAAGGAGGUAGGAUAGGAAAUGCACUACCUCAGGAGUGGAAACUGAAAGGUGGUGGGAAAAUAGAGAGAUUUUUUCAGGUGGCCUAAUUCUCAUGGGCGGCUUGCCCAGGUUGAAAAAUUCUCAAAAGUGAAAAUUUUUUCAAAAGCAAUUUCAAUGUUCGCCAUUUCAAGUUGGCCUUCCGCUUGAUGGAUUCCGUCAGAAUUUUUUUCUAAUAAAAUUUGCAAAACUCAUUGUCCAAUGUCUCAAAGUUUAAAUGAUAUGCAUGCAUCUUUACCUGAUUUGAAAUAUAGGCCCCCCAUUUCUUCUUAGUCUUCUCGUGGCUUGGUUGGUGAGAUCUUGCUAUCUGAUUUGAGUCAUCUUUGUCGUUUGGCUUUCUAGCCCACUCGAGUUAGCCCAUAUAAGACUUUUUCCAGAUUUGUUUGCACAACUCAGCCUUUGUGGUGCCCAUCGUGACCCACUUGCUUGCUAGAGAUUUUCUGUCUCGUCAAAUAGUUUGAGGGGAUCAUUCAUUACUCCUCGUCUCACUGAUAAAAAUAUUUGGUGUCACUUGCUGAAAGGAUCAAACUGUCUUUCGUAAACCAAAAUGCCCCCUUGUCUUGUUGUAGGAAAUGUUCCUUCUUUUUUUUUAGAACAGAUAGAUUUUUCUUAAGCACAAUAUUGCCCCCUUGUACUAGUCAUUGCCCCCAAGUGUGCCCUGUCAGCGACUUAGACAAAUAAUGGUUUUAAGAGACCAUUCUCUCAUUUCUCUCCUUUUCAGUUUGGUGAAGGAAUAUGGGUUUAGAAUGAAUCUUGAAAUCUUGAUCUUGCAUUUUGAAAACAAAAAAUUAUUUCGAUGUGAGUCUAAAACAAUUUGCUUUUGAAAUCUUGCAACUCCUUGGUUAUUUUCUUUCUUGGAAAAGAGAUUAUUUGCUCUUGUGUUUGGCAAUGAGAUCUUUGAUGAAAAUACGUCAUGAGAUGACCUUUUGUUUUUAUAGGUUUUUAAAGUGGAGGGCUCGAGAAAGAGCUCGAGGUUUUGUAUGAGAAAAACUUGUCUCUUUUUUUAACAUUUAUUUUUAUCAGCAUCAAUAAUAAUGAGUAGCUUAUUCUUGAUGUCAUGAAUCUUAUGAAAAAGUAUUCUUUGCAUUUUGAGAGCAUUGUUUAUUGUUCUAGGUUGCUUGCUUGCUUGAUUAGAAAGGACUUCUACAGGCACAUAACGUAGGCUGUGGUUUUUGGCUAUGAAAGAAAAGGAUUCAUAAGGCUCAAAGAGUGUUUCAGGGUUUCAAAGAAUGAAGAUCACAAUCAACAGUUUGACUCUUGACGUCAUUCAUAUUUUCUUUUGCCGCUCUUCUUUGAUUUGCCUUUUUUUCUUUUUUCUUUUUCAUUGCUUUGCUAGAGCAUACUCACUUUAUCUUGGUUAUCACUUUUUCUUGUGAUUUGGGCAUGCCCCCUAGCAUUUGAGUUUCUUGGGCUCUUUUGCCUUUUGACUUUCUCACGGCUUUAUUAUCUUUCUUGAUCAUUGAAAUUUCACUUGCCCCCAGUGUGGGGUGUGAUCCUAGUCGGGAUUUUUUCAUGAAAGAAAAAUUAUUCAGGCUCAAAAAGGGAUCGCAAGGGAUGUACUUAUUUCAGAAUAUGAAAGGAAUAACAAAGAUGGCAUUUCCUCAUUUCAAGCGCAAGCAGUUAAGAUCAAUAAACUUUGACCUCAUCUAGUGUGAUAGUUUGGUCUUUGCAAAGAUGCAUUUCAAGGGUCAUGAGCAACAAGUUCACUACAUACCAUUAUUCAUACAUUUAAAAACACAUGAUUCAAGAGUCGUGGGGUAAGGGUGUUUAUUUAUUUCUUUUCUCUUUUUUCUUUUUUUCUUUUUGGUUUAUAAUUUAGUCACCUCAUUGAUGGAGUUACUUGAUUAACACGUAGAAUGUUAAAAAUAUGGUUUUUGAAUAAACAUCAAGUUAUUUUCGGAAUCAAAAUGCAAGAUCAAUUUUUUCAAAACUCUAAUAGGGAAACUGAUUUUUGGUAACAGAGACAAAUUGCGUCUAUGAGAUCGCACAAGGCUUCAAAGAUGUGUUUGUGAGUCUUUAUAAGAAAACUCUCUCAGAAAAAUGAAUAAUGCUAAUCGUACACACGAUUGAAUGACAAACUCAUUAUUUUCAUUGAAACUUUGGAAAAUAAGUUCAACAAGAAAGAACUCAUGACAACAUCUUGGGCUAUGAAUACUGGCAUGAUAGCAUAUAAAGGGGCUAAACAUUUAACAAUCAUUGAUUGGAAUUUCUGGAAUCAUUCAUUCUCCUUGACAAGGGCAUCUCUUCAAUAGUCAAUAAUAUCACCAUAGCUUUAUCUUCAAGAUAGUUGAUUUCUAAAAAUUGGUGUGAAGCAAUUAGCUAUAGGAACGAUAACUGUCUUGGCAGCCACCUUCAGUGAAACCGUUCUUCUUAGUUAGGUUAGCAAUCUUACAUAACCCAAUGGCUUGUUCAAUCCUCUCAGCUAUAACAACCAGGUCAGUGAAAUGUUGCGCAGAGCUUCUAACCAAGUAUUCAAAGUAUGAAGCUUUAAAGUUGUUGGAAAAUAAACUGAUCAUCUCUUUUUCCAACAUAGAAGGGUUAACCUGUGCAGCUACCUCCCUCCAUCUUCGAGCGUAUUUCCUUAUGGACUCCUUAUUGUCCUUCUCCAUAGCUUGCAAGUUUAAACGAUCAGAGUCCACGUCUAUAUUGAACUUAUAUUGUCUCAUGAAGGCAUCAACUAAAUCCUUCCAUUUUUUAACCUUGGUAUUUUCCAACCGCAUAUACCAAGUGAGGGCAACGUCACUCAAAUUGUCUUGAAAGAAGUGAAUUAACAGUUUCUCGUCAUAGACUACCUCAACCAUUUUGUUGCAGUAUGUCUUGAGAUGAGUUACAGGGCAUUGAGUUCCUGUAUAUUUGAUGAAUUCUGGCACUCUAAACUUCUUAGGAAUGACUACGUUAGGUACCAAACACAUCUCAACAGCUUUUAUAUGGUCAUGUAGGCUAGUUCCCUCGAAUGCCCUCAGUCUUUGUUCCAAGGCAGCCCUUUUAUCCAGGCCAUCUUCUUUUACCACCUUGUUCUUUUGAGAUUCCUUUAUUGUAAGGUCAAUGGUAGAUGACAUUCCUAUGGGAUAUGCUGGUUGAGCAAAUUGGGAAUACAUAGACUGUUGAGACACCUCAUUUGCCCCCAGAUUCUGUGGAUUUACGAGCAUAGGUUCAGGCUGAGCUGUAGAUUUUGCUUCUUCAUGUUUAGAUCUCAAGGCUUGUUCGAGUAAGCUAGUAAGCCUGGCAACUUUCCAUCUCUUUUCGGUGUGGGGCUUCCAACUGGGCUCUUUCUUGUAAAAAAUUCCACACAAGGCUGUGAUUAAGAGAUUAACAAGAUGAUAGAUAUUUUUUUAGUAAAAUGAAUUCCAAUUCAAAAUAGCAAAAUAAGGUUUGUUGAGGCUUUUCUAGUAUAUAAAAAAAUCAAAUUAUACAAGAUUUAUUAUUAAUCUUCGAUAUUUAUUAUUGAUCAUCAAUAAUCAAUAUUAAAUGAUGACUUAUUUUCUAGUAUAAACUAUGUUUGAAAUAAAAUUGAUAAAACACAUUAUAUAUAAUUAAUGAUGGGAUCGUAUAUAAAAAUAAUUAAAUUGAGAUUUUUCAAUUACCUUUAAAUAUAUCAUAGUUUUAAUCGGUGGUGGACGAUAUAACAUAUGUAAAUUAUAAAACAAGCAUUUAUUUUUCUGAUAUAUACAUAAUAAUAACAAAUUAAAUGAUAGUAACAAGAAAAUAGCAAUUAGUUUGAAUAAAUGGUACCAGUUCCUAUCAUUAUAUAUUUAGGAAAAGGUUCAAAGAAUAGAAUAAAGUCAAAUAUAUAUUUUUAAUAAAAAAGAAAAAAAAACACAGAAAGAAAUAAAAAUAUGUUUGUAAUAAAUAUAAAAGAUGGAUAAAAAUAUUAGAGAAUAAGAAAGAGAUAUAGAAUCUCUUUGUGAAAUUUCUAAAAACUUAAUUACAAUUAUAUUAUAAUUUCUUCCCUAAAAUUAUUCAAAAUAUAGUAUUAGAAUUAUAUAAUGCUAGGUUUUAAUAGUUAAUUAAAGAAUCUUUCCUGAAUCAAAUAAUAAAAAUAUUGUAUAACGAUCUUUUGGAUGAAUUGUUAAUGUAGCUCUUUGACUGUUUGGGGUCCUGACAUAGCUGAUUUUAUUUGAAUAUAUUAUUUGAUAUCUCAUUGCUGCAUUGACUGGAAAUUUCAGUAUUCCAUAUCCUAUAUAUUUAACUCGUUAUAUUUAGUAGCUAACUCUGCAGCUAACUUCUCUGUCCCAUUGCAGCAAUUUCAUAGCUAACUCUUUGUUAUAUUUAACUUACUCUUCUUUGCUUCUUUGCUUCUUGCUCAUAACGAUAACUUGAAAGCCUUACGUUCAGAUAGAUAAUCAUUGACCAGUUCAUUGACCAGUUCUUUGUUAAUUUAGAAAUGCUGAAACAAAAACGCAAGCAAUCCAAAGAUGAAGACAACGAUUCAUCCUCGCGAAAGAGAAGAAAAGCUGACCUCAGUAAGCCUGUCAGUUUUGUCUCCACAGGUAAGGCAUAUGCGUGAGUCUAUACAUGUAGGAACUGCUGAUUCGAUUUGAAUAUGUUAUUUGAUUAGUCUGAUCAUAGGAUAGGUUGAGUCUACUACUAUUUCUGCCUUGCUUUGACUCGAAAUUCCUGGUGUUUUCACCUGCAAAUGAAUAGAAAUCACAUCCUUUCUCUUUCUCCUAUACAAAGAAUACAGUUAACCUCAUUUCAAUAUCAUAGAUUUGGAAUUUCAUAGCUAACUCUUUGUUAUAUUGCUCCAUUGGUAAUUGAUUGUGCCUUAAUUUCUGCAGCUACCAUGACAGAGCCAGGGUCUUCUCGAUCUAGUCCAGAAGGGGCCUAUGAUGUCUUCUUGAGUUUUAGAGGAGAAGACACUCGCAAGACAUUUACAGAUCAUCUAUAUGCUGCCUUAGAUCAAGCAGGAAUCCGCGCUUUUCGAGAUGAUGAUGAACUUCCGAGAGGAGAAGAAAUCUCCGAUCAUCUCCUCAGGGCAAUUCAAGAAUCAAAGAUAUCCAUAGUUGUCUUCUCAAAAGGAUAUGCUUCUUCUAGAUGGUGUCUCAAUGAACUUGUAGAGAUUCUUGAGUGCAAAAAGAGGAAAACCGGUCAGAUUGUUCUUCCUAUAUUCUAUGACAUUGAUCCUUCAGAUGUGAGAAAACAGAACGGCAGUUUUGCAGAAGCAUUUGUUAAACAUGAAGAGCGUUUUGAAGAGAAGUUGGUGAAGGAGUGGAGAAAAGCUCUUGAGGAGGCUGGAAAUCUAUCUGGAUGGAAUCUCAAUGAUAUGGCAAAUGGGUAUGCCUUUUUUCCAAAUUUAUGGAGUCAAUAUACUUUAUAUUUUUCAAUGUGAAACAAUAAAAUACUUAAUUGACUGGCUAUCAAUGACUGGCUUUUGUCUAUGAGCAGGCAUGAAGCAAAAUUUAUCAAAGAGAUUAUCAAGGAUGUGUUGAAUAAAUUAGAUCCCAAGUACUUAGAUGUUCCUGAGCUCCUAGUAGGUAUGGAUCGGCUUUCUCGCAAUAUUUUUGACUUUCUAAGUACUGCAACACAUGAUGUACGCAUUGUGGGCAUACAUGGGAUGCCAGGAAUAGGAAAGACAACUAUAGCAAAAGUUGUAUUUAAUCAACUCCGCUAUAGAUUCGAGGGAAGCUGCUUUUUUUCGAAUAUCAAUGAAACAUCAAAACAAUUCAAUGGUCUGGCUCUUUUACAAGAGCAACUUCUUCAUGAUAUUUUAAAACAAGAUGUUGCUAACAUCAAUUGUGUCGAUAGAGGAAAGGUUCUGAUCAAAGAACGACUUCGUCGCAAAAGAGUUCUUGUUGUUGCUGAUGAUGUGACUCGUCAGGACCAGCUAAAUGCUUUGAUGGGAGAGCGAGGUUGGUUUGGUCCCGGAAGUAGAGUAAUUAUUACAACAAGAGAUUCAAGUUUUCUACAUAAAGCGGAUCAAACAUAUCAAAUCGAAGAAUUGAAACCAGAUGAGUCCUUUCAACUUUUCAGCUGGCAUGCCUUGCGGGACACCAAGCCAGCAGAAGAUUAUAUUGAGCUUUCGAAGGAUGUAGUUGAUUACUGUGGAGGAAUUCCUUUGGCUCUUGAGGUUAUGGGUGCUUGUCUGUCCGGGAAAAACAGAGAUGGUUGGAAAUCUGUAAUUGACAAAUUGAGAAGAAUUCCAAACCGCGAUAUCCAAGGAAAGCUUAGAAUAAGUUUUGACGCACUGGACGGUGAAGAACUACAAAAUGCAUUCCUUGACAUCGCUUGCUUCUUUAUUGAUAGAAAGAAAGAGUACGUCGCAAAAGUGCUAGGAGCCCGUUGCGGUUACAAUCCAGAAGUUGAUUUGCAAACUCUCCAUGAGAGGUCUCUGAUUAAAGUAUUGGGAGAGACGGUAACCAUGCAUGAUCUAUUACGAGACAUGGGAAGGGAGGUCGUUCGUGAAAAGUCUCCAAAACAACCUGGAGAGAGGACCAGAAUUUGGAAUCAAGAGGAUGCAUGGAAUGUACUUGAGCAGCAGAAGGUAAGAGCUCAAUGCAUACAUGAAAGCAUAGUCAUGCGUAUUUUCUAGUCAAACUUAUUACAAGUAAUUGUAUGAAAGUUGUAUUGAUUUAUUUUUUAGGGUACGGAUGUCGUAGAGGGUCUUGCACUGGAUGUCAGAGCAUCAGAAGCUAAAUCACUUAGCGCAGGAUCAUUUGCAGAAAUGAAAUGCUUAAAUUUACUCCAAAUCAAUGGAGUUCAUCUCACCGGAUCCUUCAAACUGCUUUCUAAAGAGUUGAUGUGGAUUUGUUGGCUUCAAUGUCCUUUGAAAUAUUUUCCAUCUGAUUUUACCUUGGAUAAUUUAGCUGUUCUUGAUAUGCAGUACAGUAACCUCAAAGAACUAUGGAAGGGAAAAAAGGUGAGAAACAUGCUGCAAUCCCCAAAAUUUCUCUAUUAUGUAAUUUAUAUUUACAUGUUACAACUUCUUAAGAUUAAUUUUCAUUAUUUUGCGCUCUAUUAUACAGAUUCUCAACAGGCUAAAAAUCCUUAAUCUCAGUCAUUCUCAGCACCUUAUUAAAACACCAAACUUACACAGUUCAAGUCUAGAGAAAUUAAUUCUGAAAGGUUGCUCGAGUUUAGUUGAGGUGCAUCAAUCAAUUGAAAAUUUGACGAGCCUUGUUUUCUUGAAUCUCAAGGGAUGUUGGAGGCUGAAGAAUCUCCCUGAAAGAAUUGGCAAUGUAAAGUCUCUUAAAACUCUGAAUAUUUCUGGGUGUUCACAACUUGAGAAAUUGCCAGAACGCAUGGGUGAUAUGGAAUCCUUAACUAAGCUGCUAGCUGAUGGGAUUGAAAAUGAGCAAUUUCUCUCUUCAAUUGGACAAUUAAAGCAUUGCAGAAGGUUAUCAUUGCAUGGAGACAGUUCGACGCCACCAAGUUCUUCUUUGAUUUCAACAGGUGUUUUGAAUUGGAAACGUUGGCUGCCAGCAUCUUUCAUUGAAUGGAUAUCAGUGAAACAUCUUGAGCUUUCUAAUAGUGGUUUGUCUGAUCGCGCAACUAACUGUGUUGAUUUCAGUGGUUUGUCUGCUCUAGAAAAAUUGGAUCUAACAGGAAACAAAUUCUCUAGGCUGCCUUCUGGGAUCGGCUUCCUUCCCAAGCUAACGUAUUUGUCUGUUGAGGGAUGCAAAUAUCUUGUAUCAAUCCCAGAUCUUCCCUCAAGUUUAGGGCAUUUGUUUGCAUGUGAUUGCAAAUCAUUGAAAAGAGUAAGAAUACCAAGCGAGCCAAAAAAAGGACUAUUUAUAAAGCUAGAUGACAGUCAUUCGUUAGAAGAGUUUCAGGGCAUUGAAGAUCUAAGUAAUUGUUUCUGGUAUAUUCGUGUUGAUGACCGCAGUCAUUCACCAAGUAAAUUACUAAAGAGCGUUGUUGAGGUACUAUUUCUUUCCGUCUCUCUUUCGCACAAAAAGAAACACACACAAUUGGCACAUACAUUGAUUAAUGUCUAAAAUCUCAGCAUUCCUUGAAAUCAAUAUGUAUAUAGGCAAUAAUUAUUAUUAUUAUUAUUAUAUUUUAAAAAACAAAUAUCAUGUUUUAUAAUAUUUUUUAUUUUUCUUAUUUAAUCUAAAAAAUUAAAUAUUAUCUUUAAUAAUAUUUUUUAUUAAAUAUUUAAAGUCUGAUUGGUUUUAUUUUUUAUUUCUUGAUUUUAUGAUAAUAUAUUUAUACAGUUAAUGUGCAACGGUCGUCACGGGUAUUUUAUUCGCCACACUCCUAGUGAGAUGCCAAACUGGAUGAGCUACAGGGGAGAAGGAUGCUCAUUGUCAUUCCAUAUACCUCCAGUCUUUCAAGGCUUAGUUGUUUGGUUUGAUAAGGAUGAUCAUUAUUACUUCCACACUGACAUUAUUAUUAUUAUAAGAAAUAAAAGCAACGGUAUUCAAUUGUUUGAAGAAGAACGAACAGUACCAGAAAAUGAAAACAAUACCUCCAAAUUAGUAGAACGAACAGUAUCAGAACGAACAGUACCUCCAAAUUAGUAGGGUACAUCUCUUUUUGCCGAGUUGAUAUGAAUUCGUUAGCUUGAUGAAAACAACCGAAAGUUCUGAAAGCAUCCUUAAUUAGUAUAAUUAGUAAAGUCUUGUUAGUUUUGGCUAUAAGUUUUUGUUAUGUAUUAUUGCAUGGUUUUUAUUAUUUGUUGGCCCUUGUUUUUUUUAUAUACAACUUUUAUUUUUAUUGUCGGUUUGUCAUUAGCUUUAUGGCACUAACACUUAUUAAUAAUAAAUCUUGGACUAUUAUUAAAUAAAGGAAAAAUAAAAACAUUGUUAAAAUACCAAACUUGCAUAUUUCAAACUUAGAGAAAGCCGAUGAUAAUAAUCCAAUUUAGAAAAUAAUUAAUUUGUCCUUGUAGUAUUAGAAAAUAGUAUUUAAUCCUUAUGUUUUCAUAUUCAUCUAUGAUUUAAUCUCUUACAUCCAUUUCAUUUUCUUAUUAUUUUAAUCCAAAAAAAACUAAAAAUCACAUAUCAUGAAUACCAAUUAGAACGGAAGUGAAGACCAAUUAGAAGACUAUAAUCCAUAAUUCUCUCUGCUUCUAAGAAUUCACAGUCCCUAUAAAUUUGACUGAGAAAGAAAGAACUGAAGACAAACACAUGUUAACCUCUCAAGAUUAGUGCCUCACAAAAGAACAAGAUAAAGGAAACACCGCAAUUUUUCAUGAUAAAAUCCAAAGGAUUGGUACUUUGGUGUUUGUGGCGCUGGUAUAUGAAAGAACAGAGAUCAAGAGAUGAAAUCCCUCUAUACCGCUGUUAUUCCUUUCAAGGUGCGUAUCAGGUGUUUGAAAAACUUCCUCAACUUAAAGUAGAAAGGUCUUGUUUACAACGUUUUUUAGUCCUUUUCAAGUCUUCCAAUGUGUUGCAUUUACUGAAUAUGAUAGUGGGAAUUUAGUUAUCACCUACUAUCUUCUAAGACGCAUCUCUGUCUCCUCUUCUUCUUUAUAAAAUUAUUCCCUUCUAGUUCUCUAAUGUACUUGAUGUCCCGGAAGUGUGGCUUCUUCAUAUGAAGAAUACGUUAAGAUUCAAUUAUGAUUUUAGAUUCCAUUGCCUACAAAUUUGAACCAUGAUAAUGUAGCAUACGGACCAGUCAUGCCUAUCUACAUUAAUUAGAAUAGGCCUCCACCCUCUUAGGUUUUUAUUGAGAUUAGGGAUUCUAUUGUAGCUCUUUUUUCUCCUUUUAUUAUAACAAAAUAAUAUGUAUGGAUUAAUUUUCGUAUACAGAAACUAAGUCCUUUAAUCAAAUUUUAGAUUGACCAUCCUCUAUUUUUUAACUGUUUGAUACUUGUUUAAAAAAAAUACUAGUAAUGAGGGCAUGAAAUUAAGAAGGUGUGUGGGAAUGUGGUUGUGGUUGUUUUUGAAAAUAUAUUUUACUUAAAAAUAUAUCAAAAUAUUAUUUUUUUUAUUUUUAAAAAUUAUUUUUAAUAUUAACAUAUUAAAAAUAAAACGGUUAAAGAUAAAGUCCCAAAACAUAUUCUGCCCUUCUCCCCAAUGAACGUGGGCAGGCUUGACAUUUACUCGUUUACAAAACUGAGCCCAGUGGCAAAGAGGCCUGCUUAUUAUGCCUUUAGCUGAGACUGCUGUAGAAAUAAGUAGGCCUGAUCAAUUGGACUAAAUUUUUGUUUUGCUGUAGAAACACGUUUUUCCUUUGUGAGAAAAAGCAAGUUCAAAAAAACAGAAGAAGCAGAAUUUGAAAAAAAGAAGAGAAAAAAGAAAGAUGCUUUAGUUUUUAAUCCAUAAUGUCCAAAGUGACUGGGUAGAUAAGAUCCAGCCCAUUUGGGUCCAUCAAAGUCAUUUGUGGUAGCUUAUGACUAAUGUGCCCAAAGGAUGGCGGUUCAGUAACGGUCCAAGUAAAGAAACUAAUCUGGAAAAGGAAAUCAUGCCCAUCAGAAUUCAGAAGAUCAUUCUGCGUCCAUUUCACAUUAGCAAAAUGAAUCAAAACACCCAUUAGAAUUUUGAAGUCAUGUAUCUUCGAUGAAUUGCAAGCCAUAUCCAAAAGUUUCAUCAUCCAUAUGCCAAGCAGCAUGCAUGCAUGCAAAAUAUGGUGAGACAGAGUCAUCAGAUAAAAAAGAAAAAUAGUAGUGGAAUAAUUCUUUUAAUAUUUAAAAAUUAAAAAAUACUGUGUAACUGUUUUGUAUAAAUUGUAAAGUCAAGGACUCUUUUGUGCUUGGUAAAAUACCUCACACUAAAAUUAAUAAAUAAUAACACGAGAAGGACCAAAGUUAAUAAAUAAUAGCAUGCACGAAACUUUACAAUACAGUAAAAAAAUUGUUACAGUAAAAGCACAGAGAGAAGAACGGUUCCAUAAAAAGAUGUGGUAAGUCUAAUGUUGGGAGACUGCUCUUCCAAGGAUCCUACGGUUGCGAGCCAUGUGAAUGCAAAAGGAGCCAGUUGUUGCAACUCCAAAUUCCUUGCUUUUUUUCCUCUACGUACGUGUUACCUUUAACCUUUUAUAAUUAUGAUUGUUGCGUUGCUAAUUAUAAUUUGCAAGAAAGAUGAUGAACAUCUUUUAGUGAAUUAAGUUCAAUUCAAAAUAACAAAAUAAGGUUUGUUGAGGCUUAUCUUCGAACCUCAUUUUAGGAUUAAUAGACGAAAAUCAAAAAGUCCUGUGCAAAUUAUACAAAAUUUAUUAUUAAUAAUCAAUAUUUAUGAUUGAUCAUCAACAUUAAAUAAUGGCUUAUUUUCUAGUAUAAACUAUGUUUGAAAUAAAAUUGAUAACAGACACACAAUUAAUGAUGGUAUUGUAUAUUUUGAGACGAAAUUAAGGUUUUUCAAUUAAUGCUAAAACAUAUCAUGGUUUUAAUAGUUGGAUGGUACAUUAUGUAAAAUAUAAAAAAAUAUUUAUUUUUUUGAUAUACAUAGUAAUAAUAAAUUAGAUGAUAAUAACAAAAAAAUAGAAAUUAGUUUGAAUAAAUAGUACCGGUUCAUAUUAUGAUAUAUCUAGAGAAGAAGUUGGAAGAAUAGAAUGAAAUCAAAUAUUAAUAUAAAAAAAAAUAUUGAAGUAAUGAGUACAUGAAGCAAGAUAAUUAGUGGUUGAAUAUAGAUUAUAACUAAUUAUUUGUUCUGAUGAAGAUUACCAAUUAAAUACAAACAAAAAAAAUGUUUCUAAAAUAAAAGGAUAUGAAUUAACUAUAGAAACUAAAGAGUGGAUCGGUUAUCUUUAACGUUUGCAAAUAAUUAAAAGAGAUAUAAAUUUUGUGAUGGGUUAUGAUUAACGCAGAAGCAAAUAAAAGAGGAACAGAAAUUAUAAGCAAAUAUUGUUUCCUGGGCGGAAGUGUUUGGCACUGUCGAUAAAAGUUUUUUGAAAAAAAUUAAUUUUAUUUUUAUUUUUUUAUUUUAAAUUAAUAUAUAUUUUAUGUUUUCAGAAUAUUUUGAUGUAUUAAUAUCAAAAAUAAUUAUUCAAAAAUAAAAAAAAAUCUAACCAUUAGAGCUUCUCUCUCAAUCGUCUUUCUUUUUUUUAAUAACUAGAUUAUUAAAAUUACAAGAAUUAAGUUAAUAUUUCAAAAAAUUUCAAAAAAAUAUUUUGUUUUCUUUUAGUAUCUGGGAUUAUGAAUUUAUACGUAAAAUGUAUUCUUGAUAUUAAAAAAAAAGAUAAGGAUCUUCUUACUGAGGAAGACUUAUCUUGAACCUUAGACAUACUAAUUAGAAAACAUGACAAUACCUUAAUUUUUCUCAGACAAUUAAACAAUGCAAUUGUGUAUUUGGGGUGCUAAUAUAUUUUUUUUUACACAAUCAGUUUUCAUGCUCGAUCUCUAAGAUUAAUUAGGGUUUCUAGUAACUAAAAUACUAAGUAAAUAUUUUCUAGUAAAUUAAUUUCAAUUCAAAAUAACAAAAUAAGGUUUGUUGAGGCUUAUCGUGAAACCUUGUUUUGGAUGAAUUGAUCACGAGAAUGAGAAAUCAUGUGUAAAUUAUACAAAAUAUAUUAUUAAUCAUCAAUAUUUAUUAUUGAUUAUCAAUAUUGAAUAAUGGUUUUUUAUAAUAUAAAUUAUGUUUAAAAUAAAAUUGAUAAAAUUAAAAUUCAUGAAACACAAUUAAUGAUGGGAUCUACAUCUUUUGAAUUUAUUAGAAUGAACGUGUAAUUAAAGGACGAACCACAUACCAUUACAUGCGUUUUCAAUUGGAUUUUUUAUUUAAAUGAAAAAAAAUCUGUUUUAUAUGAAAAAAAUAUUUAUUUUUUUGAUAUACCUAAUAAUAAUAAAUUAGAGAAUAGUAACAAGAAAAUAGGAAUUAGAUAGACUAAACGGUACCAAUACUAUAUUCUUAAUAAAAAAAAUAUUUUUAAUAAAUAUAAAAGAUGGAUGAAAAUUGUUGCUACUCGAUUUUUUACCUAUAUUUUAAAUAAUUUUUCAGAAAAAAAUCAAAAUAGUAAAAACACAACGAAAAUCUCAAAAAAUGUAUUUUUGAUAUAUUUGUAUUGUUUUUAGCAUUUUUAAUAUUAUCUCAAAAAAAUUUUAAUUUUCAAAAGUAUUUUAAACGCGUUUAAUUUUUAAUGCGUAAAAUUUACAAUUACUGAUUUGCCUUAUUAAGUUGAUAUUGAUAUGAUUUGUUUUUAAAAAAAUUCAAAAUAUAACAAAUAAAAAAAUAUCAAAAUUUAUAUAUAUAAAAAAAAAUGAGGAACCAGUUUGGAAAUCUAAUAAGAUUUUGGCUAUAAAUACAGUGAAAAAUGUCAACAUCCGGGGGGAAUUGAGAGGAAUAGUGGCGUAGAAAAUUUUGGGGGGAAACAAAAGUAAAGAACCCUAGACCUCUUCCUUUUGGCAGUGUGGUAGUGGUUGCUUUUCAAAUAAUUUUUCGUGCCGAAAUACAUGCCAAUGAUAUUUUUUUAUUUUUUAAAAAUCAUUUUUGACAUCAGCACAUCAAAACGAUCCAAAAAAUACAAACCACACUCAAUUUUAACAAAAAAAAAAACAAAUUUGAAAUUUGGUGAAAAGCAGGUUGAACAGCAGAGCCAAACAUGCUAGACAGGAGCCGCCGCCUCCCUCUCAAAAAAUCCAGAGAAACCCUCCCUCUCUAAAAAAAAACAGGAGAAACCCUACUUUGGGGUUUUGAACUUUCGGCUUCUUCUCCCUGCAGCCGGACAAGGCUGCCCCCUCGCUUUGCCAAAAACGAGGAGAACCCCACAAAACACACAGACCCCCCCCCCCCAAAAAAAAAAAAAAAACCAUCCCCAGAGAAACCAACCCCCAGCCGGCGACCCCCAGCCUUAACAACAAAGAAAGACACGGCUGGUCCCCCCUCUCCACUGAUCUUCUCCCUCACCAACCUUCCCCUCUCUCGGCCGCUCACUUCCCCUCCGUCAAAAACAGAGACCGGCCGCCCCCCCCCUCUCCUUUGAGGCCAGGAACCAGAGAAACCAGAGAGCUCCGGACAGGCCUCCCUCUCCCUCGACCACAACCUCCAUCCUCCCUCUCUGUAAUCCAGCCCCCACAAACCCACAAGACAGCCCCGGCUCCCUUCCUCAUCGCCGUUUUCUCCAACUCUGACCGACCCCUCUCUCAGCCACCGAGAACGCCGCCUAGCAGCCCGCAGGCCCUCGUCCUCACCAAGACCCGAACCGGCCACCGGCAGCUGUACAGACACGACAGAAGCUCCGCCGCCGGCCGCCCCUUGCACAUACCGUCGGCCACCUGAAACAGAAGGUGAAAAAAAAAGAAAAAAACAGAUCUGCAGAAGAAACAGAUCUGAAACAAGGGAAGACCGAAACAGAUCUAAAGAAGAAGAAUAAAAAUCAACUGCUUUGUUGCGUUUUUGGUUGUUCUUGCAGGUCACUGCCGAGGAAAGGAAGAGGAGGAGAAGUUAAGCCAGAUCCACAUGUUCACAGUUUCUGCUUGCGGUGACGCGUGAACCCACACGCCGCCAGUGGCAUGGUGCGUGGAGAAGACGCUCCGCCACUGUUCCCAUCCCCAGAACCCUUUCAGCACUGUUCCCGAGGUUUUUUUUUAUUUAAUUUUCAGAUGUUGAUAUGUGUUUUUAGAUUAUUUUUAUUUGAUUUAUUUUGAAUUCUUGGUAUUUUGUAAUAUGGAAAUGUGGGUGCACGAGAAAAACAUAAUAAAAAGGAAUUUAUGUGUUUGUAUUUUUUUUAUGUAAGUUAUUGAAUUAUAAAAUCAGAAAGAUAAAAAAAAAUAAAUUUAAUGUUUUAAUUUGUAUAUGGUCAAGUAUAUGAUGAUAAUUAAAAUUAUGUUGUAUUUUUCAUAUUUUUCAUAAAAAUAUAAGAACAUGUUUCUAUAUAUUUUCUGGUGGAAGCUUUAAAAUUUGAUUAAUAUUUUAUUUUUUAAAAUUGUAUCUUCAAAUUAAAUUAUGAAGCAACUUAUCUCAGGUAAGAUGUGUUAGAGGUGUUAAUAUUUUUUCAAUUAUAAUCAAUUUUUUAUCCUUGAAUCUUUGACAAGACUAACAUAUCCAGGUUUUUUAGUAGGUGAUGACUUUCAAGAACAAGCAAACGAAGAAAAUCACUAAUUGACGCCGUGCAGGGAACGUGCGACAAAAAUAUUAGAGAAUAAAAUUGAGAUAUAGAAUCUCUUUUUUAUAUUUCUAAAAACUUAAUUUCUGUUGUAACCUAUUUUUGAGUCCCACACUAAAAUGGAGAAUAAACAAAUUUGGAAGAAAUCUAAAAAAAUAAUAGCAAUGAGAAGAGGAUGCCGAAACACCUAGAAAAUAGCUAGAAAUUGGUUGAGGAGGUUCAAAAAUACAAAAAUUAAAAUUUGACAGUAUAUAUUUGACUGAUGAGAGCUCUAUUGAAAAAGAAAAUUUAAUUUGAGAAAAAAAAGUUUAAAAUCAGAUGUUUAUGGAUUUAAUUAAUUUUAUUGAAGGAUUUAUAAAGAGUUUGAUUGCAAGAAAAAUUGAUUUUUAAGUCAAUUUAGACUUUAAUUGAAAGAAAUUAAAGUUCUGAGGUCAAAUUACAAUUUUUAAGAGUUAAUUUGGUCAAAUUAGGAGUUUAAUUACAUAAAUAUUAAAGUUUGAUGGCUAAUUAGGGACUUGUUUAAAUAAAUCCAAAACUAAUGACCAAAAGUUCUAUAACUCUAGAUAUAGUUAACAAUCUGAUGAGUGUUCAGACAGUAACAGUUCAAUGUCGAGACAGUAACAGUUGGACAAUAACAGUUAGACAGUAACAGUUCAAUGUUUAGACAGUAACAGUUGGACAGUAACAGUUCAAUAUCUAGACAGUAACGGUUGGACAGUAACAGUUCAAUGUCUAGACAGUAACAGUUCAAAUUAGACAGUAACAAUUAGACUUUCACGUGAAUACUAUAUGUAAGAAUAUAAAAGAACUGAGUCAUGCGAACACUUGCACGUUGAGACACUUAUGCAAUUUAAAGUUCUUCUGGUGAAUGCAAUUACAAUAAAUACCAUGUUCAAUGUAAAUAAAGUCCAGCGUAUUUACAAGAUUAGCUACAGCUAAUGGCAUCCGUGAUAGGAUUGCCGGGAAAUGAAUUACAAGAGUAGCUUGGGCUAAUAAUGUCCAUGUUGGGACGCCCGAGAACGAUUGAUAAGACUUGAUUUGUAAAGGGUAUCAAUGUUUGAAUGACUUGGGAAAUUGAUAAAUAUAAGUUGACUGUUAUAAUUCUUAUGGAUCCGAUAGAAAAUUUAUACUUCAUUCGUAUACCUUACAUGUGCACAUAUAUAUUUCUUUUGCAAACAUAAUGGUAUGUUUAUUUAUGUAACAAGGCCAUCAAAUAUCCAAGGAGAUCAUUAGUUUAGGGCUCUAUUUUGUCAAUCUUAUGUAAAUAUUUAACUUAAGCAUAAUGGAAUUAACGUGUUUAUGCAGUAUGCUUUUGUGUAAACCUUGAUGUAUUUAUAAAAGUCCAGCUUAACAUGUAGUACAUUAGUUAUCUUGUAAUUAACCCUCUUGAAAUGUUUAAGAAUACUUAAUAAAUUGUAAAUGCUCUCUUUGCAUGUUAUUCCCUUUUCUUUUAAAUUUUAUGACAUGAUAUAUAGGCUAUGUUCAUAUUGAACUUACUAGUAGGAUAUAUAUAUAUAUAUAUAUAUAUAUAUAUAUAUAUAUAUAUAUAUAUAUAUAUAUAUAUAUAUAUAUAUAUAUAUUGUGUGGAUUGUAUGAGUUGUUGAAUAUUGAUAAUUGAAAUAAGGUCUGGAAUUAUGGGACCUUGUGAUGAUGGGUUGAUUGAGUAAAUUGGUAGUAGUCGAUAAUUUGGAAUGUCCUAAAUACAAACGAAACUUUGCCGAAUUUUUGGUAGAUUUAAAAAAAAAAAAUUACCCUCAAAUUAAGAACAUAUGUUGGGAUCUUUUAACGUUGAUCAAGUCGUACAGUCGGGUCUGUUACAUAUACCGUAAAGAUACAAAUCCAGUAUUAAAAUACGUGGUUUUCACCAAAAUAUUGCAAAAGUUAAAUAAAAGAAAUAUAUUAUUUUCAUGCAUAUGGCCAACUCUUUAAAAAAAAAUUAUCAUAUCGUAUUUUCAUACCAUAAAAAAAAUCUCAAAAAUAUUUGUUAGCAUGCAUUUUGGCUUUAAUAACUAGUUUGUUAAAGUCAUGAGAACUAUGCUAACAUUUUAAAAAUUUCAAAAAAAUUAUCUUGUUUUAUUUUAAUAUCCGGGAUUAUGAACUUAAUCGUAAGUCGUACUCCUAAUAUUAAAAUUAGUUUCUUUGGUUGAUAUAGAACGGUUAGGUUUUACCCAAUUAGAUAAUAAUCUCUUUAUCGAGGAAAAUUUUUCUUAAACCAUAGACAGACCAACAACUAGAAAACACAAUGAUACCUUAGCCUAUAUCAGACAAUAAAACAAUGCAGCUUACCUUAGGUAGGGCGUAUUUUGGGUGCUAAUACUUUUUUUUUACGCAAUCAGUCUCCGUACCCGAUCUUUGAGACCAAUUAGGGUUUCAGUUACCAAAAUACUAGGUGGUGACUCUCAUUUUUCCAUUCCACUGAUAAAAGACAAGAUUUUCUUGCCUCCCUAUAUUUGCCAGAUAGACAUACAUGAGAGUGGAUGUUAUUCACCGUGACACCGCACACGUGUCACAAUUACAAUUCCAUUAUAAUUUGUUCCUUAAAAGUAUUCAAAAUAUAGUAUUAGAAUUACGUAAUGCUAGGUUUUAAUAUAUAAUUUUUUAUAUUGUUAAAGAGUCUCUCCUGGACCAAAUAAUAAAAAUAUUGUAUAACUCUUAUGUAUGAAUCGUAAAUCCAGGGAUUGUUUUGGAUCCUGAAUUGGCUGAUUUGAUUUGAAUAUAUUAUAUGAUUAGUCCAUUUAUAGGUUAACUCUACUAUUGCUGCCUUGCAUUGACUUUACUCUGCAGCUAACUUCUCUGUCCCAUUGCUGCCAUUUCAUAGCUAACUCUUUGUUAUAUUUAACUUUCUCUUCUUUGCUUCUUUCUCGUUUUAAUUUCAUUUCUUGCUCAUAACGAUAACUUGAAAGCCUCACGUUCAGAUAGAUAAUCAUUGACCAGUUCAUCCUAUAUCAUUCUAUUUAAUUUAGAAAUGCAGAAAGAAAAACGCAAGCAAUCCAAAGAUGAAGAAAACGAUUCAUCCUCGCGAAAGAGAAGAAAAGCUGACCUCAGUAAGCCUGUCAGUUUUGUCUCCACAGGUAAGGCAGAUGCGUGAGUCUAUACAUGUAGGAACUGCUGAUUCGAUUUGAAUAUGUUAUUUGAUUAGUCUGAUCAUAGGACAGGUUGAGUCUACUACUAUUUCUGCCUUGCUUUGACUCGAAAUUCCUGGUGUUUUCUCCUGCAAAUGAAUAGAAAUCACAUCCUUUCUCUUUCUCCUAUACAAAGAAUACAAUUAACCUCAUUUCAAUAUCAUAGCUUUGGAAUUUCAUAGCUAACUCUUUGUUAUGUUGUUCCAUUGGUAAUUGAUUGUGCCUUAAUUUCUGCAGCUACCAUGACAGAGCCAGAGUCUUCUCGAUCUAGACCAGAAGGGGCCUAUGAUGUCUUCUUGAGUUUUAGAGGAGAAGACACUCGCAAGACAUUUACAGAUCAUCUAUAUAGUGCCUUAGUCCAAGCAGGAAUCCACGCUUUUCGAGAUGAUGAUGACCUUCCAAGAGGAGAAGAAAUCUCCGAUCAUCUCCUCAGGGCAAUUCAAGAAUCAAAGAUAUCCAUAGUUGUCUUCUCAAAAGGAUAUGCUUCUUCUAGAUGGUGUCUCAAUGAACUUGUAGAGAUUCUUGAGUGCAAAAAUAGAAAAACCGGUCAGAUUGUUCUUCCUAUAUUCUAUCACAUUGAUCCUUCAGAUGUGAGAAAACAGAAUGGCAGUUUUGCAGAAGCAUUUGCUAACAAUGAAGAGCGUUUUGAAGAGAAGUUGGUGAAGGAGUGGAGAAAAGCUCUUGAGGAGGCUGGAAAUCUAUCUGGAUGGAAUCUCAAUCAUAUGGCAAAUGGGUAUGCCUUUUUUUCUCUAAGAUUCUCUUGCACACAUUUAUGGAGUCAUUAUACUUUACAUUUUUCAAUGUGAAACAAUAAAAUACUUAAUUGACUCGCUAUUAAUGACUUGCUUUUGUCUAUGAGCAGGCAUGAAGCAAAAUUUAUCAAAGAGAUUAUCAAGGAUGUGUUGAAUAAAUUAGAUCCCAAGUACUUCUAUGUUCCUGAGCACCUAGUAGGUAUGGAUCGGCUUGCUCACAAUAUUUUUGACUUUCUAAGUACUGCAACAGAUCAUGUACGCAUUGUGGGCAUACACGGGAUGCCAGGAAUAGGAAAGACGACUAUAGCAAAAGUUGUAUUUAAUCAACUCUGCUAUGGAUUCGAGGGAAGCUGUUUUCUUUCGAAUAUCAAUGAAACAUCAAAACAAUUUAAUGGUCUGGCUCUUUUACAAAGGCAACUUCUUCAUGAUAUUUUAAAACAGGAUGCUGCAAACAUCAAUUGUGAUGAUAGAGGAAAGGUUCUGAUCAAAGAACGACUUCGUCGCAAAAGAGUUGUUGUGGUUGCUGAUGAUGUUGCUCAUCAGGACCAGCUAAAAGCUUUGAUGGGAGAGCGAAGCUGGUUUGGUCCCGGAAGUAUAGUAAUUAUUACAACAAGAGAUUCAAAUCUUCUUCGUGAAGCAGAUCAAACAUAUCCGAUCAAAGAAUUGACACGAGAUCAGUCCCUUCGGCUUUUCAGCUGGCAUGCCUUUAAGGACACCAAGCCAGCAGAAGCUUAUAUUGAGCUUUCGAAGGAUGCAGUUGAUUACUGUGGAGGACUUCCUUUAGCUCUUGAGGUUAUAGGAGCUUGUCUGUACGGGAAAAGCAAAGAUAGAUGGAAAAGUGAAAUUGACAACUUGAGCAGAAUUCCAGAAAACAAUAUUCAAGGAAAGCUUCUAAUAAGUUUUGACGCACUGGAUGGUGAGCUACAAAAUGCAUUCCUUGAUAUUGCAUGCUUCUUUACUGAUGUAGAGAAAGAAUACGUCGCAAAAGUGCUAGGAGCCCGUAGCUGUUACAAUCCAGAAGUUGUUUUGGAAACUCUCUGUGAAAGGUCUCUUAUUAAAGUAUUUGGAGAGAUGGUAACCAUGCAUGAUCUAUUACGAGAGAUGGGAAGGGAGGUCGUUCGUAAAGCGUCUCCCAAACAACCUGGAGAGAGGACCAGAAUUUGGAAUCAAGAGGAUGCGUGGAAUGUACUUGACCAGCAGAAGGUAAGAGCUCAAUGCAUACACGUAGCCAUGCGUAUUUUCUAGUCAAACUUAUUACAAAUAAUCAUAUGAAAGUUUUAUUGUUUUUUUUUUAGGGUACGGAUGCUAUAGAGGGUCUUGCACUGGAUAUGAGAGCAUCAGAAGCUAAAUCACUAAGCACAGGAUCAUUUGCAAAAAUGAAACGCUUAACUUUACUCCAAAUCAAUGGAGCACAUCUCACUGGAUCCUUCAAACUGCUUUCUAAAGAGUUGAUGUGGAUUUGUUGGCAUGAAUGUCCUUUAAAAUAUUUGCCAUCUGAUUUUACCUUAGAAAAUCUAGUUGUUCUUGAUAUACAGUACAGUAACCUCAAAGAACUAUGGAAGGGAGAAAAGGUA
This 37354-nucleotide long non-coding RNA is filed under the name Populus trichocarpa (black cottonwood). RNAcentral's name for it is "long non-coding RNA (PTRI_LNC004299)". Lineage: Eukaryota; Viridiplantae; Streptophyta; Magnoliopsida; Malpighiales; Salicaceae. The record is from RNAcentral.